AGAUUCACCGACUUCAGUUGUAACUACAUCAUUGUCGAUCUGCGAACCUAUUACUGGCACAGUACAAUCGUUCAUUAACCUUGAAGGCUACUUGUGCAAACGGGUACUCAAGAAAUACAACUCAUGCAUGACUUGUGAAGAAGCCGUGAAGAUGAAGACCAACUUUUCAUCUUCGGUGUCGCAAUUGAUUUCCAUGAAAUCACGUGGAAGUUUGAUACACGCUAAUCUCCACUUUUUCAACCUUAUUCGGCAUGUUGAAGCUACAUUUGCGAAGUAUUGUUCUCGAAUUGAUGCUUUCGAUCUAACUCUCGAUGAAGUGUUGGAUACGUACACUUUUACUUUUCCAUGUAAAGAACAUGCUUCCGAAAUCCUUUCCUACGCUAUUAUUUAUUAUAUUAGACUACGAAUGAGACAAAAUGCUCACCAGGAAAAUCAAAAAUUGAAAAAAGACUUCGUUGUAAAAAAAAAAUUGUCAAAACUGACUAAUACUUAAACCGCGGGGAUGGAGAAAGCAGCUAAUCUUUUAUAAAUAAAGUAGAUCUCACUGUAA
Molecule: long non-coding RNA, 550 nt
Organism: Venturia canescens
Lineage: Eukaryota; Metazoa; Arthropoda; Insecta; Hymenoptera; Ichneumonidae
Exons: 2
Source: RefSeq, a predicted model, not a curated record